UGGGGAAUAUUGGACAAUGGGCGCAAGCCUGAUCCAGCCAUGCCGCGUGAGUGAUGAAGGCCCUAGGGUUGUAAAGCUCUUUCACCGGUGAAGAUAAUGACGGUAACCGGAGAAGAAGCCCCGGCUAACUUCGUGCCAGCAGCCGCGUUAAUACGAAGGGGGCUAGCGUUGUUCGGAUUUACUGGGCGUAAAGCGCACGUAGGCGGACUAUUAAGUCAGGGGUGAAAUCCCGGGGCUCAACCCCGGAACUGCCUUUGAUACUGGUAGUCUUGAGUUCGAGAGAGGUGAGUGGAAUUCCGAGUGUAGAGGUGAAAUUCGUAGAUAUUCGGAGGAACACCAGUGGCGAAGGCGGCUCACUGGCUCGAUACUGACGCUGAGGUGCGAAAGCGUGGGGAGCAAACAGG
RNAcentral lists this ribosomal RNA (404 nucleotides) under Actinomycetes bacterium. Its description in RNAcentral is "Actinobacteria bacterium partial 16S ribosomal RNA". It matches the Rfam family "Bacterial small subunit ribosomal RNA", at positions 355 to 776 of the family's 1533-position model. The record is from RNAcentral. RNAcentral also lists the same sequence under 1 other name. Lineage: Bacteria; Bacillati; Actinomycetota; Actinomycetes.